RNAcentral lists this long non-coding RNA (1233 nucleotides) under Junco hyemalis (dark-eyed junco). RNAcentral's name for it is "lncRNA (ENSJHYG00000007067.1)". The record is from RNAcentral. Lineage: Eukaryota; Metazoa; Chordata; Aves; Passeriformes; Passerellidae.
UCUGCCCUUUUAACGGUGGAGUUGGGAGGUUGGCUCUUUUUAAUAACCUGUGUUCUGAGGAGAGCGUUGGCCUCUUGCCUUCGGGGAAAGCGGAAGCAACUAUUUCCACAAACUGAAGCACUUUGGGUUAUUCAGGGUUUUUGGAACUGGUCGCAGCUUAAAGAGAUGGGGCCAAAGGAGGAAUGUUAAUAAUGCAGAGUGAAGGCUGCAAACCCAUGUACAUCAUGAAGUACAGCUGCUGAAAAACUCCCAGCUCGGAGGGACGGCUGCUCACCAGGCCUGCACACCACAGGAACCAUUAACUGCUCGCUUGGCAGGCGCUGCCUCACAGCCAAUCCCCAUUCCCAGCUGCAAAAAGCUGCUUUGAAUUCACAUUCAGGGCGGGCUACUUGCUUCCUGUCUCCUUCCAAACCCCAGCUCGCUCCCAGCAGCCUGUUGAAGGUGAUGGGGGAACUCUCUCCACCCUCCUUCCCUCCUAGACACCACUCCAAGGGCUGGUUGCACACCAAGUACGUGUCUCUCAAAAGCUUUCUGUGUCCCUCAAAGCUUUUUGGACCAGAAGGGAAGCUACAUUUCAUUUGUUGACGGGUCUUCUGCCCUUUGGGUGCAUCCCACCCGGCCCCACUGGUCUGGACCCUCUUUCUAAAGCAAGAUGGCAGCAGGGCUGCUCCUCCCAGGAGGAGCUGCAGCGGGAUGUGUUCAGGCAGUUGUACCAACACCGGGUCCUCCUGCCUGUAAGCUGAUCUGUGGCAUCAGGUUUCACUCGAUGGAAUAUGAGUUUUCCCUCAGCAGAGCCGCCCCUGUGCAGGAGGAAGGGGCUGAUCCCAUUUCCCCCAGGCCCACUUGGCUCCCAGAGCAAAGGGGAUGCAACUCCAGCCCCAAAGCAAAGACGAGCAGAGUUUGCCCCUCUAAACCUCUUCAGCUCUGGUUUUGGCUCUCAAAGGGAACCAACCCCAAUUGCACAAGCACAGGCUAUGGAUGGUGAAGAGAUGCACAGAGCUAAGAACACAACAGACUUCCCAGGCCCUAGAGCAAGCCCAGCUCUUGGAUAUCAGACCUGAAGAGGAAUUUCUAGAGAAUCAAAACACCCUAAAAAUACCCUAAAUCAAUGUAUUAUUUCUGAGAGAAUGGGCUGAGAUUUAUAGAAAUUAUGGAUUUACAGUAAUGAGUGACCAGAUUGAGCAGGUUACAUCCCUUGAUCCCUUUUGACCCAAACCAUUCUGGGAUUCUACA